RNAcentral lists this long non-coding RNA (2026 nucleotides) under Neodiprion lecontei (redheaded pine sawfly). RNAcentral's name for it is "uncharacterized LOC124292953, transcript variant X2". The record is from RNAcentral. Lineage: Eukaryota; Metazoa; Arthropoda; Insecta; Hymenoptera; Diprionidae.
AGCUGUGGAACCGUUGUAUUACAAACGCCUUCUUCUUGAGAUGUGUAACAUUGUUGCACAUCCUCUUUCAGUUAAUUUGCGUCAAGAUAUUGAACACCUCAGUAAUAUCUAUACGUCGGUAAUACACGAUUCUUAGUUCCCCUAAGUUACCUAUUGUGCAUAUCUCUACUUUAUCAUCAAAAUUGUCCUGUUUUCGCUUCUAUGUUCCUAGGUCAUAUCUAUGUCUCCUACUUGCCGGUAAGCCUUCUUCUAGUCCGACCAUUGUUGUGUCAACGUCUCUAACGGUCAUCUAAAUUCAAUGUCGUGCCUUCCUUGCCAUUAAUUUUGCUCCAUGAUGUGUGCUUGGAAGUUCCGUAUUGCACUGUAUAAUGUAAUAGUGUAUUUUAUAAUUUUAUUCUAUAAAACUGUUUCAUCGGCAUGUUCCAUAUCAUGCUUUUUUAUCCAAAAAAUUGUUGCAUCAGUAUCGCCCGGCACUAGCUGUUGCGAAUGUGGAGAGUAUCGGAAGUUGGAGCUUUCGUAGUUGCGGCUACAGAGAUACAAUUAUCAGCGGUUGCGCCUGACGUCAACGCGGAACUGAUUAUCUUUGGUGGAAACGGCUGCUGACAUCUCCCAAGCAGCACAUUUUGAAAAGCCGUCAGAAAGAAAGUCCAGAAGCACAUCAGAAACUCGAUUUUUCUGCCUGUUGAGCUUUUUUUCGCGUUUGAGAUACUUGGACUUCGGUAUUUGUAGAUACAAAUCGACCAAGGCACAUUCUUUAUUCGAGGAAUAUGUAUGUAUUUAUGUAUUUUACGAGCCGACAAGACAGCGACAAAUUGUAGAACUGCUGAAAAAAAUUGUUUUGCUGUUAGGCGCUUACUACUAAUCUUAUAAAAUAAUUUAUUUUAACUGACAUCGUAACUGUGAUAAAACAUUAUGUUGAAGGAGUGUUACAUACUAAUACCGCGCAAAAGUACUUCCUAUUUAUACCACAUUUUGCAUGCACCUUAUCUCAUUCCAUGUUUUAGAAGUACAUUAAUAUUUUACAAAUAAACUAUUGUCAAACAUUAAAAAAAAACAUUCAGAUAAAUAUAAUGUGAUGCACUAGAGAAAUAUAGUUAUUGCGACACAUGUUCCUCAACUUCUCUGAAAAAUUUUUCGGAUGAGAAUCUACUUUUACAGGAAAAAGAAUGUCCUAUUUUUCGUAUGAAACUUAUCAACUGAAUUUUUCUGUAAUAUUCUCAAAAUUUUACUGUGUUUUUUUAUUCAUAUUUGUGUCCUGAGACUAACAAGGAGAGUAUUAGACAAUCGAAUCUGAUGAACAUAUUUUCAGCCAAAAGAAUGUUCCUGGAAUUUUCAGUGAAAUCUGUGAUCCGAGGGUCAAUACUCUUGUAGGCACGACACUUUUUUACACCAGUUCUGUUAUCCGGUGAAGGGUAGCUAAAAUCUACCUAAUUUUUGAUGCAGGACCCUUUUCUUAACUAUCGGCACCCAAAUGUUUCGACUUUUCUGUGGGCAGGAGUAUCGUGUGCAAUAUUGCCGUGUGCAUUGAAGUUUCUGUGUGCAAACGUACUGUACACUAUUGCCAAAAUUAUUGUGUGCAAACAGGCCAUGCUAACAGGCCGUGUAGGAAUGGUUUACAAAAGUGCCUUGGGCUGAUAGACUGUGUCCAAAUGAUACACAAAAUUGAAUGUUCCGCGUUUAGAAAAAUAUGUCUUCUCCAACGUGUAGCAUUACUUGACAACUAGUUACAAAGUAGAUAUGCAAGUAUGAAUAUGCAUAGAGUUGUAGAAAGGCCGUAUUACAUUGAUGUGUAUUAUUAUUUUAUUACUCUAAUUAACAUAUUACUUAAUACUACGUCUAUACCAAUCAUUUACAUAUGUGGUCAGUGACAAUAACGCGCUAUAUACUGAAUCUCUUCAUAACUAAAUCCUAUGAGGUAAUCCUUUUAUGUUAUGCACAAUAUAUUUAACACAAUGCAAAUUGAUAUUUGAUUAAUAUAUUUAUAAUUUAUAAACAUUCACCUUUGGCAAUUAGGAUGUGCCGUAUG